CUUAAAAAAUAAGUGACGAUAGGUGAGCUGUGUAUGUGAACGCAAUAAAAGUGCAAGGAAGGCAACAGUGUUACGCAGCAGAUUGAACCAUUCGGACUCAAAGCGGUUUGUUAAGUUAAAAAUUGCUGGCAAAGUGAUACCACAUCUUUGGACGAUCCCGUCAUUUUAAGUUUAACUUUCCAUGUGGUGCAGACAGUGCGAUCAAUUUAACCAAAAGUUGGUAACCUACGAACAAGUAUUGCAUAGCGGAUAAACCAUUCGCAAAGUGAAGUGAAAUAAACUGUGCAUUAGCGAGAAAAUCAUUGAAAGAUUCCAAAGACUGCAGUUACUACUUGUGAGCAGUUUCAGUUGAAUACAAAAUUGAGAGAUAUUUCAAUGAGUUGCAAUAAUAUGGAAGCUCAACAGGCAUCAACAUCUCUGACUGGUACGAAUGUGGAAGUAAUCCCGGCAACCAUGGCAUCAGUUACGAGAAGGAUCUCGCAUUCGUAACCUUUGUAGCGGCUUCCUUGGAAGAAAGUAAGUUCAAGCUGGCCGUAGAGAUGACAGCAGCAGAGAAAUUCGAUGACGUGGUAGUUUUCAAAGAAGAAUCCAAAGAGGUGUUGUUAUUCCAGGCCAAACAUUCCAUAAUGGAGGUCACGUAUUGUUCGACGACCUACUCUCUGAUGAUCCGAGAAAAAGCAAAGACUUUGCUUUUUCUCGGUAUAUUCAAUCUUAUCUGAGGAUUAGAGAAAACAAAGUUUUUGAAAGUUAUAAACCAACAAUCAUUAUAUUCACUAAUAAAUCACUGAAACGAACCGAUGAGCUUAACCAGUUGAUGAAUAUCCAAGUACAAAACGUGAACAGCAACAUAAAAUGGUGCGAUUCUAAGAAAAAUCUUUAUUUUGAGCCACUUAACGAUGAAGCAGUCAGAAAAAUUAAAGAUAUAAUAAAUUCAGAGCUGUUCCAAAUCAAAGAAGACAUAGACAAACUUGUAAAAACUGGAAAAAUUUCCGAUUUGCUGAUGCAAUACAAGACACCAUUGCAAAAUAUUCUUAAAAUUGCUGAUGGAAAAAUAAGUUUCAAAGAGCCUGCAGUGGAUAGCAAAGAUAUGAUAACUCAUCGAUGGAUGCUUGCCAUGUUUAAUUUGAAGCCGAAUGAAAACUUUCCAAUGAAUAGAUUAGAUGA
Molecule: long non-coding RNA, 1164 nt
Organism: Aedes aegypti (yellow fever mosquito)
Lineage: Eukaryota; Metazoa; Arthropoda; Insecta; Diptera; Culicidae
Exons: 2
Source: RefSeq, a predicted model, not a curated record